Molecule: ribosomal RNA, 389 nt
Filed under: uncultured bacterium
Lineage: Bacteria
Description: bacterial SSU rRNA
Rfam family: Bacterial small subunit ribosomal RNA
Source: RNAcentral
AUUGAACGCUGGCGGCAUGCCUUACACAUGCAAGUCGAACGGCAGCACGGGGGCAACCCUGGUGGCGAGUGGCGAACGGGUGAGUAAUACAUCGGAACGUGCCCAGUAGUGGGGGAUAGCCCGGCGAAAGCCGGAUUAAUACCGCAUACGACCUUUGGGUGAAAGCGGGGGAUCGCAAGACCUUGCGCUAUUGGAGCGGCCGAUGUCAGAUUAGGUUGUUGGUGGGGUAAAGGCCUACCAAGCCGACGAUCUGUAGCUGGUCUGAGAGGACGACCAGCCACACUGGGACUGAGACACGGCCCAGACUCCUACGGGAGGCAGCAGUGGGGAAUAUUGGACAAUGGGCGCAAGCCUGAUCCAGCGAUGCCGCGUGUGUGAAGAAGGCCUGC